AGCGGCGGACGAGUGAGUAACGCGUGGGUAACCUGCCCUGUACACACGGAUAACAUACCGAAAGGUAUGCUAAUACGAGAUAAUAUGCUUUUAUCGCAUGGUAGAAGUAUCAAAGCUUUGGCGGUACAGGAUGGACCCGCGUCUGAUUAACUAGUUGGUAAGGUAACGGCUUACCAAGGCGACGAUCAGUAGCCGACCUGAGAGGGUGAUCGGCCACAUUGGAACUGAGACACGGUCCAAACUCCUACGGGAGGCAGCAGUGGGGAAUAUUGCACAAUGGGCGAAAGCCUGAUGCAGCAACGCCGCGUGAGCGAUGAAGGCCUUCGGGUCGUAAAGCUCUGUCCUUGAGGAAGAUAAUGACGGUACUUGAGGAGGAAGCCCCGGCUAACUACGUGCCAGCAGCCGCGGUAAUACGUAGGGGGCUAGCGUUAUCCGGAAUUACUGGGCGUAAAGGGUGCGUAGGUGGUUUCUUAAGUCAGAGGUGAAAGGCUACGGCUCAACCGUAGUAAGCCUUUGAAACUGGGAAACUUGAGUGCAGGAGAGGAGAGUGGAAUUCCUAGUGUAGCGGUGAAAUGCGUAGAUAUUAGGAGGAACACCAGUUGCGAAGGCGGCUCUCUGGACUGUAACUGACACUGAGGCACGAAAGCGUGGGGGAGCAAACAGGAUUAGAUACCCUGGUAGUCCACGCCGUAAACGAUGAGUACUAGCUGU
Molecule: ribosomal RNA, 711 nt
Filed under: uncultured bacterium
Lineage: Bacteria
Description: bacterial SSU rRNA
Rfam family: Bacterial small subunit ribosomal RNA
Source: RNAcentral